CGUUAAAACACCGGUUCCCGAACGAUCAGCAAAGUUAAGCAAUGUUGAGGUUGUUUAGUACCUUGAAGAGUGACCGCUUGGGAGUAUUAGGUGUUGGAA
Non-coding RNA from Acanthosepion pharaonis, 99 nucleotides. NCBI's taxonomy places the organism in Eukaryota, Metazoa, Mollusca, Cephalopoda, Sepiida, Sepiidae. The record is from the annotation of a GenBank genome assembly.